UACGAAGAUCAAUUUGAAACUUUCAGUAUUUCUCUAAAAAUCAUUUUGGCAGACUGGCUAUGCAAAGCAUACAGAUUGGUUUAACAAGUAAAUUACCUCUUUGGAAAGUGGUGGCACAGAGUUCCCCACAUCAUGUGGAUACAAAAGUAAAACACAUUGUAUGGAUAGGUUUAAACUUUGAGAAUAAUGUUAUUGGAAAAACUUGGAACAAUUGUUACUAAAAUGAUCCAGGAAAUGGUGCCUGCUGAGAUCCCAUGGCUUCAAAGUUGAUGACCUUAAGGUCACGACAUUUUCUGUAGUUGAUUCUUGUUGUACAUUUGUUGUCAUGUGUGGCUGCCUGACAAAUCCGACACAUAUAUUUUUAUGCGUCUGUGUAACUGACAUGUGUGCUUUUUCCAUUCUUACAUUCAAAGGAAGUGUCGAUCUUAUUCUAACACUAGUAGCUAGGUAGGUGGAUUAUAUUAAAACAAUUCUAGUCUUUCUCUAUACCCCACAGGUAUGUAGAUGUCAGUAUUUUGCUGUCAGUUUCAGUAAUCACAUUCAGUGUUUGGGCUGUGACUGCUUAGUUUUUAUUCUCAUUCAUAGACACAAGAAAUUAAUUUCUCUUUGUUGAUGUUCAUUAACAACUAACAUGGCCGGUUUUCUGAUCAUUCUCGGUCGCUGUGUCCAGUGGAAUAUCUGUGCAUGUCCAUUGUGUUGAGGUCUAGACAUGUUCUUACAGAGGACAAUGUAUCUAUUUGAACUAAUAAUAGAUUCUAACUUCAGCAGGAAUCUCGUCUUUAGAUCUUGUGUUAUAUAACUUAAUAAUGGGUGGUUUAUCAUUGAAAGUUUUAUCAUUUAGAGUUUAUUUUGGUGUGAUUUCGGUUUUUUUACGUUUCUCUAAAUAAUCCAUCCAGGGGGCUUCUCCUACAACAAGGUGUGCACUACACACCAUGUGUGUUCCCUUACAACAAGGUGUAUGCUACACGUCGUGUGUGUUCCCUUACAACAAGGUGUAUGCUACACGUCAUGUGUGUUCCCUUACAACAAGGUGUAUGCUACACGUCAUGUGUGUUCCCUUACAACAAGGUGUGUGCUACACGUCGUGUGUGUUCCCUUACAACAAGGUGUAUGCUACACGUCGUGUGUGUUCCCUUACGUAAGUUACAACAAGGUGUGUGCUCCACAUCUGUAUAUUUUUGCCGUAACCGUUGACGGGCUCUGUGACAGACCUUAGUGCUGUGACACCUUCAUCUUGCCGUUCUCCAGAAAAUUCUGAUGCUCUCUCUCAUUCACACAUACACACACAAAUCUCUCUCCUUCUGCUGUUUGUGAUAUGGUCCCAUUAUUCCUGGUGGAAUCACACAGCUUCCUGUUCUAUUUAUAAAGUUCUGUGUUUACAAAUUCAAAGUUUUUCUUAUACAGAGAUUUAAUGUUUUUAUUUUUAUCUUUAUUGGCCAAGUCGUGCGUUGUUUGGAAACUGGAUAUUUUGUUUCGUAUUGUGAUGUGAGGUUGUUGUUUUUAAGAAGUUACACAUUUUUAGAUUAGUGGAUAAGAUUUCAGAGAUCCUUUGACUUUGAGAAUGACGGUGAUGACUAUAUUAUUUUGUUGUUAGUGAUGUUAGACUAACUUGUGAUAUGUGUACUUGAUUUUUAACGUUUGAACUUGUUAUUUUGACUAUAUUUCUGUCCGUCCGACAGUUCGAUAGUUCAAAGCACACUAUUUGACUAUUCCGUCCCAACCUUCAAAGCAUUCCUUAUGUUUCUCUUUCAGAAGUAUUGCUUGUAUGCACAAAGUUUUCGUUAUUUACAUGUAUUUUUUAUAUAUAUUUUAAUUAAUUUAGGAGUCUAAGUCACAUUUACUUUAAGUAUUUACUACUUCAUAUAUUCUUAUAAAUUUUAGGAUACAGUGUGUGAUCAAUACAAAAAAAUCCCUCCAUUAUAUACAUGACAUAGAUGUUUAUAAUUCAAAAAAUUUUCGUAGAGAAGAAGAAAAAAAGGUUUAACCAUGCCUUGACUUAUGGUAUACUGCAUUACAAUCAGUUUGUGGUAGCGAGAUGAACUCCCCUACACUGAGCUGAGCACCGUGCUAAUUUUGCGGUUCAUCUGAAACUCUACAGCUUUGUACUGUCCCCCAUCUUUUGUAAUAAACACAGAUUGUCUACAGA
RNAcentral lists this long non-coding RNA (2146 nucleotides) under Aplysia californica (California sea hare). Its description in RNAcentral is "uncharacterized LOC106012489". Lineage: Eukaryota; Metazoa; Mollusca; Gastropoda; Aplysiida; Aplysiidae. The record is from RNAcentral.